GACGAACGCUGGCGGCGUGCUUAACACAUGCAAGUCGAACGGAAAGGCCCUGCUUUUGUGGGGUGCUCGAGUGGCGAACGGGUGAGUAACACGUGAGUAACCUGCCCUUGACUUUGGGAUAACUUCAGGAAACUGGGGCUCAUACCGGAUAGGAGCUCCUGCUGCAUGGUGGGGGUUGGAAAGUUUCGGCGGUUGGGGAUGGACUCGCGGCUUAUCAGCUUGUUGGUGGGGUAGUUGCUUACCAAGGCUUUGACGGGUAGCCGGCCUGAGAGGGUUGCCGGCGACAAUGGGACUGAGAUACGGACCAGACGCCUACGGUAGGCAGCGGGGGGGAAUAUUGCACAAUGGGCGGAAGCCUGAUGCAGCAACGCCGCGUGCGGGAUGACGGGCUUCGGGUUGUAAACCGCUUUCGCCGGUGACGAAGCGUGAGUGACGGUAAUGGGUAAAGAAGCACCGGCUAACUACGUG
This 468-nucleotide ribosomal RNA is filed under the name uncultured bacterium. RNAcentral describes it as "partial 16S ribosomal RNA". It matches the Rfam family "Bacterial small subunit ribosomal RNA", at positions 28 to 507 of the family's 1533-position model. The record is from RNAcentral.